Molecule: ribosomal RNA, 252 nt
Filed under: uncultured bacterium
Lineage: Bacteria
Description: partial 16S ribosomal RNA
Rfam family: Bacterial small subunit ribosomal RNA
Source: RNAcentral
UACGUAGGAUGCGAGCGUUAUCCGGAUUUAUUGGGUUUAAAGGGUGCGCAGGCGGCACGGCAAGCCGGCGGUCAAAUCGCGGGGCUCAACCCCGCCCAGCCGUCGGAACUGCCGGGCUAGAGUGGGCGAGAAGUGCGCGGAAUGCGUGGUGUAGCGGUGAAAUGCAUAGAUAUCACGCAGAACUCCGAUUGCGAAGGCAGCGCACCGGCGCCCUGCUGACGCUCAGGCACGAAAGCGUGGGUAUCGAACAGG